GACGAACGCUGGCGGCGUGCUUAACACAUGCAAGUCGAACGCUGAAGCUCAGCUUGCUGGGUGGAUGAGUGGCGAACGGGUGAGUAACACGUGAGUAACCUGCCCCCUUCUUUGGGAUAACGCCCGGAAACGGGUGCUAAUACUGGAUAUUCACUGAUCUUCGCAUGGGGGUUGGUGGAAAGGUUUUUUCUGGUGGGGGAUGGGGUCGGGGCCUGUCAGCUUGUUGGUGGGGUGAUGGCCUACCAAGGCUUUGACGGGUAGCCGGCCUGAGAGGGUGACCGGGCACAUUGGGACUGAGAUACGGCCCAGACUCCUACGGGAGGCAGCAGUGGGGAAUAUUGCACAAUGGGCGAAAGCCUGAUGCAGCGACGCCGCGUGAGGGAUGGAGGCCUUCGGGUUGUAAACCUCUUUCGCUAAUGGUCAAGCCGCAACAUUGGUUGUGGUGAGGGUAGUGGGUAAAGAAGCGCCGGCUAACUACGUG
This 481-nucleotide ribosomal RNA is filed under the name uncultured bacterium. RNAcentral's name for it is "partial 16S ribosomal RNA". It matches the Rfam family "Bacterial small subunit ribosomal RNA", at positions 28 to 507 of the family's 1533-position model. The record is from RNAcentral.